Molecule: ribosomal RNA, 183 nt
Filed under: uncultured bacterium
Lineage: Bacteria
Description: partial 16S ribosomal RNA
Rfam family: Bacterial small subunit ribosomal RNA
Source: RNAcentral
AUGAAGCUGGAAUCGCUAGUAAUCGCGGAUCAGAAUGCCGCGGUGAAUACGUUCCCGGGUCUUGUACACACCGCCCGUCACACCAUGGGAGUCGGAAAUGCCCGAAGUCUGUGACCCAACCUGAGAGGGAGGGAGCAGCCGAAGGCAGGUCUGAUGACUGGGGUGAAGUCGUAACAAGGUAAC